CGCGUAGGCGGCAAUUCAAGUCAGCUGUGAAAUCUCCGGGCUUAACUCGGAACGGUCAGCUGAUACUGCUUUGCUAGAGUGCAGAAGGGGCAAUCGGAAUUCUCGGUGUAGCGGUGAAAUGCGUAGAUAUCGAGAGGAACACCUGAGGCGAAGGCGGGUUGCUGGGCUGACACUGACGCUGAGUGCGCGAAAGCCAGGGUAGCAAACG
RNAcentral lists this ribosomal RNA (208 nucleotides) under uncultured bacterium. Its description in RNAcentral is "partial 16S ribosomal RNA". It matches the Rfam family "Bacterial small subunit ribosomal RNA", at positions 568 to 774 of the family's 1533-position model. The record is from RNAcentral.